GAUUUUGCCAUGCAUGCAGGCGUGUAGCGCGUACUAGUCGUGCUCAAGGCGACGUGUACGCGUAACAAAAGUUUAGUGCAUCGAGGCGUCCCGCGCGCCCUCCAUCUCCAAAAAGGCAUCGAAAGAGUAGGUCGGGGGAGAGGGAAAAUUUGGGCGGCCAGAGGGAGUGCUCAGUAAUGUGACAAGACAACACACUGCUCACGUGGCGUGGGACAGCUGCAAGUUGCAUUUACACGAAGCUACUCCGCUCUCUCCUUCGUCAUGGUAAUUCAUCACUUGUCCCCGAGCAGAGCAAUCUACCUCCUUCCCCCACUGACACUGUAGAACAAAUCUGGUGGCCACCGGUGGAGCAAAGAUCGACCAUCCGGCGUCGGUUCCGGCAGCUAGAUGGAGCCUCCGGAUCGUCCAGGAAAGAGGGGUCUACCCACCCAAUGGUGAUGUAGUUACGAGCUUUAGAAAGAAGAAGUCAAGAUCCGAGCAUGGUGAAAGCGAAGAUCGGGACAGCGAUGGGGAUGCCGCGGAUCCGAUUGUAGUUUCCAGCGGCGGCGGUGACAUACUAGCAUCAGAAAGCUCGAUUUUGAGAUUGAGAACAGAAGGAAGGCAGCGAGGAGGGGUAGAAAGUGGAAGCAGCCCUGUGGUGGAGGAUCUACGGGCGGGACGACGGGCAAAAGAUCUCGCAGAACACUAGUACUAGUUCCGGCCACCGCAUCUGGAUCUGCACGAACAAGAACUCCGGCAGUUGGUAGGCAUCUAGUGGCCAUUGCAGCACCUGAGAUGGAAAGAGAGAGUCAGUUACUCCGUGGUAGGAUAGUUAGAUGCACCUGUACUAGCAAGUACAUCGUCCGUCUCGGCCUAAGGUACUAUCCCGUUUGUUGACCACUGCUUGGUCUGGAGAGGCAGAUAGGAGAUUUUACGCCUGGCUGCUUAGCAGGUUCCGUUGGCAAGAUAUGAGAUUCACAUUCCCUGACGGCCAGUUUAGGAUCUUCAGCCCAGCAUCCAUAGUUAGAACCUUGGGUCUAAAGAAUAGUGGGCGACAUGUGAGCUUGCUAAAGAUACCUCGAAAGCAGAGGCAAAACAUAGCAGAAGAGAUCAGGAGUGCACUGGGCAGACACAAUCAUCCGGGCAUGCGAGAUGGUGGAUUGAGCAUAGAAGCAAUCUUAGAGAUGUUCCGACACAUGAAUCCACUGAAACUAUCUCGAGCUCAGGAGAGGGCUGCAGAGAUGGGGUUUUCACUUCUAGCUGCUGGUACAUAUGUUGCCCCAAAGCAAUUGUACCAGAACAUAGCUUGGGAAAUACUUGCAUGUGUGCUAUGCGAAGGCGGGACAUCAGAUUAUGACCUGGCAGAAUGGGCAUUUGAAGUAAUUAGGGAAGCAUGAAGAAGCUGUGUGAAGAUCUGGCAGCUGGGAUACGAACAUUAAGAUUACCAGGUUGCCACUUGGCUAUCAUUACAAAACCAGUGGGCUACCUUGAUGGCAUAGAUGAGGUGUGGAAUCCAAUUGUUGGACAGCCUGGUGGCUUAUAGGUUAAUCCAUCGCAGAUGGAGGCUUUGCAGCAAGUUCAACCAGAGAUUGUGACUGCUCAAGUCAGGCGUAUGUCAGACAGGGAAUCUAGGCCGGGGAGAGCAGAGCAUACAGACAGUGGAACCUCUGGUGAGCAUGCUCCAGGCAAGGGAAAAGAGAAAAUGGAUGAACAAAUUGAAUCAUCGAGUAGCGACAGUGAUGACCACUAUGUACACCCACACGAAUGAGCUGCUAGAAGACUGCAAAGGGCUGAGAACAGAGGUGAACCAAUACAAACGAACCGCCGACCAGGGAGCAUCCAUAUCUCAGGUGGUUUAGAGAAUGUGCCGAUCGCAGUGCGAGCACCACGUAGUUUGAGCCGGGUGAGGGCCAAACUUCAGUAUAGAGGCACUGGGUGGCAAGGAGGAAGCAGCAGCAGUGUGCUUUCGAGGGCUCUGAACAGUGAAGGGAUCUCAACGGAAGGGGGUUUGGUCCGUCGAGCUGUGGAUGGAAAUAAUCCGUCAGAUGAACUAACGGCAAUAAGCAACAGGCUAAAAACUCAUCGAAUACACAAGAAGUCAGAAGGGUUUGUCGCUCAGGAUACAUGAAUCGAACCUAGUUGUCUCGGACGAUAUUGAUGAGCCAGCUAACAAUGGGAGAGCCGAACGGCUGAGGAGCCUGGCCAUAGCAGCUCUGAACUUGGUCGAACGAGCUGUUGACAAUCUAGAAUUGUUUGAUGGAAUCUUCGAGGAAGCUACAAAUUUGCUAUCAGGAUUGGGCUUAGGUGGUAACAGUAGAGAGCCCUCAACUCUAGUUCAUGCACAUGGCAAUGGCAACCCAGCGGUCGAAAGAAAUGAUGAGAAAGACGACAUUGAUUGGGAUGAUCUUGAGAACAAAAGCCCACCACUUGCAAUGCAGGAACAGAUUGAUGGUGACAAUCUGUUAGCGAGGAACCUGGAAGUCCUGUACAAUGAAUCAGAUAUGCAUGAUGCGCCAGUAAACGUUGCAUCAAAGAUUCAGGAAGAUAUCGUGGGGGGGGGGGGGGUGAAUUGGCAGUGAUUGGCACGCCAAAUGCGGCAGCAGAUGAUGAGAACAUGGAGCAGCAGAUUGCCUUGACUCUAUUAGAAGACGUGAUUUGUGAAGACCACAUAAAUUACCUGCUAUCAUGUAUGAACACUUGCAUCCGAUGGAUUGCCUGGAUUGGAGCAACAAUGGUAGUUGGGAGUGGGUGGCCCGGCGACGAUACAGAUGUUGAUCCUCCAUGCAAUGGAAUGAUACUACUCGGUUGGCAUGAUGAAGGAUACGAGGCACAAGCUAAAGCGAGCAGGGAAGGGGUCCGCAAUAGCCAGAAGAAGAAAUCACGAAGACGAUUUGUGGAUGUUACAACGAAUUGUCGUCCAGGACCAAGAUAGCGUAGGGAAGACGAAGACGGGGGUGACGGCCCUACUUCAACCGAGAGACUAUCUGGUGAAGGAGGUGCCUCUGCAGGCAGAUUCCAGCAGGCUAUUAUGAGCUACCUGAAAAAUGUGGGAUCAAGUGCAAUAGUAACAAACAGAGUAAGGAUCAUGGGACUGAGAUGAAGGCACCGACUUGUGAAGAUAUUUCAAAGGGUAGAAGCGAAUGGGGGGACAAGUACCCACCAUUCGUUGGCCUAUCUCAUGAUGAACCGUCUAAGGAGAGUAUUGAGAUGUUCUAUACUAACAUGAUGCAGUGCCCCGAUACAGUGCUCAAAAGGAAAUGGGUGGAGCACUUCCAUCCAAUCCUGGCAGUGGCAUCUGGACAGGAAAUUAAGGAUGAACUCACUCCAGGUGGUGGUGUGUCGUUUAACCUCAUGCGAUGCAUAGUGCGCGCACUAGUGGUGAAAGAUAACAAAAUGUACAAAGGCUGGCUGGACCGCUGGAGAGGGCUCUUUGAUCCUAGAUUUGUGGAUGAGGUCUGUAAGGAAGAUGCUGAAAAGGACUGGGAUUACAUUUACAUCAUGAUGGACUCUAAGUUGUGGGUUACAAAAUUGAAUGGCUGACCAAGUGAGGACAGUGGAUUAUACAUGGUGCACUACUUCAUGGAGUUCACCGGGAUUUACAUUCGGUCGUAAACCAGUUCUAUUGCACAAGAUCAGCUAAAUGGUAUGCGAAAGAAGCUAGCUUACGAGAUAGUGGUGAUGAAGGGGAACAAAGGGGACAUCCCUGAGUUCUUGUAUGGAGCGAUCGUUGAAUGAACUUGGAAGGAAACAUGUUAAUUGCAGUUAGUAGUGGAGCCUACCAAAAUCUUUUGGCGGCACGAUUAGUUUGCAUUUGACUAACUGCCAGGAUUGAAAAUGUUUGAAAUUUGGUACCAGAUGGACAAACCCCCUAGAUUAUAAUUUGUAUGCACUAUGGAACUGUAAUGUGAAACCCUAAUUUAGAACUAGAUGAACUUGUGAGCUAUGGUAUUGUAAAGUACUGGUUUAUGGACCGUACAAGCAGACAAUGCAGUACUUUGCAUGUUAGAUGAUGUGUUGAGACAUGCUGAAGUCUGUGUCGAAAAAAGCAUCUCAAAAAUGUUGA
Triticum aestivum (bread wheat) is the source of this 4042-nucleotide long non-coding RNA. RefSeq lists it as uncharacterized. The record is from RefSeq and is a predicted model, not a curated record. The transcript has 17 exons. Lineage: Eukaryota; Viridiplantae; Streptophyta; Magnoliopsida; Poales; Poaceae.